GAUGAACGCUGGCGGCGUGCCUAAUACAUGCAAGUCGAGCGAACAGACGAGGAGCUUGCUCCUCUGACGUUAGCGGCGGACGGGUGAGUAACACGUGGAUAACCUACCUAUAAGACUGGGAUAACUUCGGGAAACCGGAGCUAAUACCGGAUAAUAUAUUGAACCGCAUGGUUCAAUAGUGAAAGACGGUUUUGCUGUCACUUAUAGAUGGAUCCGCGCCGCAUUAGCUAGUUGGUGAGGUAACGGCUUACCAAGGCAACGAUGCGUAGCCGACCAGAGAGGGUGAUCGGCCACACUGGAACUGAGACACGGUCCAGACUCCUACGGGAGGCAGCAGUAGGGAAUCGUCCGCAAUGGGCGAAAGCCUGACGGAGCAACGCCGCGUGAGUGAUGAAGGUCUUCGGAUCGUAAAACUCUGUUAUUAGGGAAGAACAAAUGUGUAAGUAACUAUGCACGUCUUGACGGUACCUAAUCAGAAAGCCACGGCUAACUACGUG
This 497-nucleotide ribosomal RNA is filed under the name uncultured bacterium. RNAcentral's name for it is "partial 16S ribosomal RNA". It matches the Rfam family "Bacterial small subunit ribosomal RNA", at positions 28 to 507 of the family's 1533-position model. The record is from RNAcentral.